GAUGAACGCUAGCGGCAGGCCUAAUACAUGCAAGUCGAGGGGCAGCAGGGAUAGCAAUAUUCGCUGGCGACCGGCGCACGGGUGCGUAACACGUAUACAAUCUGCCUUUAACAGGGGGAUAGCCCGGAGAAAUCCGGAUUAAUACCCCAUAACACAUGAGAUAGCAUUAUUUUAUGUUGAAAGCUCCGGCGGUUAGAGAUGAGUAUGCGUCUGAUUAGCUAGUUGGUGAGGUAACGGCUCACCAAGGCGACGAUCAGUAGGGGAUCUGAGAGGA
This 274-nucleotide ribosomal RNA is filed under the name uncultured bacterium. Its description in RNAcentral is "partial 16S ribosomal RNA". It matches the Rfam family "Bacterial small subunit ribosomal RNA", at positions 28 to 300 of the family's 1533-position model. The record is from RNAcentral.